Molecule: ribosomal RNA, 589 nt
Filed under: uncultured bacterium
Lineage: Bacteria
Description: bacterial SSU rRNA
Rfam family: Bacterial small subunit ribosomal RNA
Source: RNAcentral
CCUACGGGAGGCAGCAGUGGGGAAUCUUGCGCAAUGGGCGAAAGCCUGACGCAGCAACGCCGCGUGCGGGAAGAAGGCUUUCGGGCUGUAAACCGCUUUCAGCAGGAACGAAAAUGACGGUACCUGCAGAAGAAGGAGCGGCCAACUAUGUGCCAGCAGCCGCGGUGAUACAUAGGCUUCAAGCGUUGUCCGGAUUUAUUGGGCGUAAAGAGUUCGUAGGCGGUCGAGUAAGUCGGGUGUGAAAAUUCUGGGCUCAACCCAGAGACGCCACCCGAUACUGCUUGACUUGAGUUCGAUAGGGGAGUGGGGAAUUCCUAGUGUAGCGGUGAAAUGCGCAGAUAUUAGGAGGAACACCGGUGGCGAAGGCGCCACUCUGGAUCGAUACUGACGCUGAGGAACGAAAGCAUGGGUAGCAAACAGGAUUAGAUACCCUGGUAGUCCAUGCCGUAAACGGUGGGCACUAGGUGUGGGUUUCUAUUAACGAAAUCCGCGCCGUCGCUAACGCAUUAAGUGCCCCGCUGGGGAGUACGGUCGCAAGACUAAAACUUAAGGAAUUGACGGNNGAGAGNGCGAGACGACGAGAGGAGAG